Molecule: ribosomal RNA, 700 nt
Filed under: Bacillus sp. (in: firmicutes)
Lineage: Bacteria; Bacillati; Bacillota; Bacilli; Caryophanales; Bacillaceae
Also listed under: 1 other name
Description: bacterial SSU rRNA
Rfam family: Bacterial small subunit ribosomal RNA
Source: RNAcentral
GUCGAGCGGACAGAUGGGAGCUUGCUCCCUGAUGUUAGCGGCGGACGGGUGAGUAACACGUGGGUAACCUGCCUGUAAGACUGGGAUAACUCCGGGAAACCGGGGCUAAUACCGGAUGCUUGUUUGAACCGCAUGGUUCAAACAUAAAAGGUGGCUUCGGCUACCACUUACAGAUGGACCCGCGGCGCAUUAGCUAGUUGGUGAGGUAAUGGCUCACCAAGGCAACGAUGCGUAGCCGACCUGAGAGGGUGAUCGGCCACACUGGGACUGAGACACGGCCCAGACUCCUACGGGAGGCAGCAGUAGGGAAUCUUCCGCAAUGGACGAAAGUCUGACGGAGCAACGCCGCGUGAGUGAUGAAGGUUUUCGGAUCGUAAAGCUCUGUUGUUAGGGAAGAACAAGUACCGUUCGAAUAGGGCGGUACCUUGACGGUACCUAACCAGAAAGCCACGGCUAACUACGUGCCAGCAGCCGCGGUAAUACGUAGGUGGCAAGCGUUGUCCGGAAUUAUUGGGCGUAAAGGGCUCGCAGGCGGUUUCUUAAGUCUGAUGUGAAAGCCCCCGGCUCAACCGGGGAGGGUCAUUGGAAACUGGGGAACUUGAGUGCAGAAGAGGAGAGUGGAAUUCCACGUGUAGCGGUGAAAUGCGUAGAGAUGUGGAGGAACACCAGUGGCGAAGGCGACUCUCUGGUCUGUAACUGA